Molecule: ribosomal RNA, 376 nt
Filed under: uncultured bacterium
Lineage: Bacteria
Description: bacterial SSU rRNA
Rfam family: Bacterial small subunit ribosomal RNA
Source: RNAcentral
UACGAAGGGUGCAAGCGUUACUCGGAAUUACUGGGCGUAAAGCGUGCGUAGGUGGUUGUUUAAGUCUGUCGUGAAAGCCCUGGGCUCAACCUGGGAAUUGCGAUGGAUACUGGGCGACUAGAAUGUGGUAGAGGGUGGCGGAAUUCCCGGUGUAGCAGUGAAAUGCGUAGAGAUCGGGAGGAACAUCCGUGGCGAAGGCGGCCACCUGGACCAACAUUGACACUGAGGCACGAAAGCGUGGGGAGCAAACAGGAUUAGAUACCCUGGUAGUCCACGCCCUAAACGAUGCGAACUGGAUGUUGGGCUCAACUUGGAGCUCAGUAUCGAAGCUAACGCGUUAAGUUCGCCGCCUGGGGAGUACGGUCGCAAGACUGAA